UACGUAGGGUGCGAGCGUUGUCCGGAAUUACUGGGCGUAAAGCGUGCGUAGACGGUUAUUUAAGUCGGGUGUGAAAGCCCCGGGCUCAACCUGGGAAUUGCAUUCGAGACUGAAUAGCUAGGGUACGGUAGAGGGAAGCGGAAUUUCCGGUGUAGCGGUGAAAUGCGUAGAUAUCGGAAGGAACAUCAGUGGCGAAAGCGGCUUCCUGGACCAGUACCGACGUUCAGGCACGAAAGCGUGGGGAGCAAACAGG
Molecule: ribosomal RNA, 253 nt
Filed under: uncultured bacterium
Lineage: Bacteria
Description: partial 16S ribosomal RNA
Rfam family: Bacterial small subunit ribosomal RNA
Source: RNAcentral